CUGUCUUCUCGUCUACCUGUCCUCUCGUCUGCCUGUCUGCCUGUCUUCUCGUCUGCCUGUCUUCUCGUCUACCUGUCUUUUCGUCUGCCUGUCUUCUGCUCUCAGCUUCCUGCUGCUACAGCCGUUGUCCGCUCCUGUUUCCCUUCCACACCAUUCUGAGCCUCGUAAAUCCCCACUCCUCUGUCAUUUUUGGAGCUGUUUCCCAGAGAGCCUUCUGGAGAUGAUUUGGAUUGCAAAAAGGUGUUGUGACUGAGCCCCAGACUCCGGACUUCUACCACACUCCAACGAUUGUCUUUCUCUGUCUUGACUUCUGUGUCUGUUGGGACCUCCAUCCACUUCCUGUACCGAGGACUCCGCCCCUCUGUUCUACCUGCAGGUCACACUCCUCAUCCCACAUCCGUACAUUGGCUGGAUUUCUCCAGGACCUGGGCUCCUUCACGUUAAAGAAUAAAAAUAAAUCUGGUUUCUUGCAA
Oryzias latipes (Japanese medaka) is the source of this 473-nucleotide non-coding RNA. The record is from RefSeq and is a predicted model, not a curated record. Lineage: Eukaryota; Metazoa; Chordata; Actinopteri; Beloniformes; Adrianichthyidae.